Long non-coding RNA from Eucalyptus grandis, 2376 nucleotides. RefSeq lists it as uncharacterized. Lineage: Eukaryota; Viridiplantae; Streptophyta; Magnoliopsida; Myrtales; Myrtaceae. The transcript is spliced from 2 exons. The record is from RefSeq and is a predicted model, not a curated record.
AAGAGGGAAAAAAAAAGAAGAAGAGGAAGAAGUAGGAAAAUACCGAAAAAGCCCUGGGACGAUCUCCUCCUUCCAUUCGUUUUCUUCGUCGUUCGCUCCGCGACUUCGGAUCGAUCGGAUCCUUUGAUCCCCGAUCGAUGGCGGAAAAUCCGCGAAGCGAAGCGCGAAUCGAUCGCGCACGGCGCUCGACGCGGGAAGGGAAACCACUUCGAUCCGAUCAUCCUCGAACCGAUCGCGGGCUUCGGGCGCAGUCCAUGGCGGCGAUUCCGGUGCUGUACGUUGCGACUCCUCUCUUCUACUUUGCUCGGUGAUGUCUGUUGCUGCCUGCAUCCGAGAAAUCCGGGAUCUUCUCUCUCUGUCCGUCGCCGCGUUUCCUUGUGUAGCUAGGUUUCGAUCAAUGUCGGAAAGGUGCAUUUGGCUGAGGAAAUCGAUGCGUGUAGAUACGUGAUUCCCAACCGUUACUUAGGAGUUUGCGUUGCAGCUUUGCGAGCAGUCCUUUCAACCGAUACCGGAGUUAUCCGCGGCUGUAGAAUGAAAGAUUGUGAGGGCUCUCUGCUCUGGACUUCGACUCAUGGUUGUAGCAAGAUGCCAGUCGCUUUUUUAUGGUUAAGAGAAUGGUAGGAAGGAGCAAACUUGUCUGUCGGUGUUAUCACGGGAGUUUCGGGAAAGCCGGCAGGACAAUGACGGGUUGGAGAUGGAGGGACUUCUCUUCUCUUCAAAGAAUAAAAGUUCUGUGACGUGUGCCUUUAGUUUGAGAUUCUUCUGCAAGGUUGCAGAAGAUGAGUUGUUUGUUCCGUUUGGGGCUCUGAUCGGAGAUGCCGGUUAAACAGACUUUCCUACACAAUCAGGUAACCGAUAGAUUUUCCAGCUCCAGAAGUGCUCUUGGGAGGCAGCGCAUCAAAUCAAUUAGUUAAUUCAAGAGUUCCAUUCUUUGAGGUGCUUAUCCAAUUGAACUGGCUUUGGAAGCAAUGAAAAGAACCAAACUGUAUCAUUUCAUUCUGCCUGGUUAGGCUCCCGUUUGUCUAGUUUAUGACUCAAAAUUCACUGAUAUGCUCUAUGGCAGCUUCUUGUUUUCUUGUUUUCUUUUUCCCCAAUGUCUUGACUCAAAUCAUUGCCUAGUGAAUAUUUUUUCCUCACCUUUGUGUUGCUGAACCAAUUUUCAGAACUCAACUGAAGAUGUAGAUACGUCACACCAGAACAUUCCCUUUUGAAGAGCAACUACAAACCCAAUGACUUCUUUGGGAUUACUUAUACUCAAUUCAUAGUUCAAUUUUUGAUCAUUGUCACAAUGGGCGAUGGGUGAAAAUGGAAAAUUGCUCUGCAUAAAUCAAGGUGAUGAAUGGAAGUUGAAGUAGGAUGGAGCUGGUUACCGGUGAACAGCUAACAGCUUAUGCCCUUUAAGAGUUCAUAUUGAGAUCAUCUUCCGGUAGAAUUAUCCGUACAGAAGCAGAUUUCCAUACCAAAAGUCCAUAGAUGCGCACAGCACAGCACGCUCACCCAUACUGUUUUAUUCCACGACCUCAAAACAGUUGCUUUGAUUUUUUCUGUUUUAUAUAUUUAUUCGUCUGGUUAUUCUGGCUACGGGUUCUCUUCUUUUGCCUAUGCAAGAUUAUAUUUGUCUUUAUGAUGCUCUGUCUGCUUGCUAUCUGCAGGAGUUUUGGUUGAAAUUGGGUUCUGGGUAGGGGAUGAUGUUGGAGGACUGAAAGUGACCCGCCUUGCCUUUCAGUUGGUUCACCGGGCAUAUACUCAAAUCUCAUCAAGUCGUUAUCGAAUUAGAAGCCUGUCUUUCAACUCUGGACUCGUGCAGCGCAAGAAAGGAGAUUCUUCAUCAAGUGGAGCUCAACCUCGCAAGUCAUUCUAACCCGAAGUGUAGGUGGAAGAAAUGCUUUUUAGUUCCGUUUUGGGGUAAAAGAAGAAUGAUAGGUGGAGAUGGAGACACUCACGUUAAAAACACCGGGUGUGUCGAUGUCUCAAUAAUUCCCAUCGCAGCAAUUCAUUCACACGGGAGGUGGUGAUGUUAACGUGCGUGAUUUAACCCCCAUCCCAUCUCUCUCUCUCUCUCUCUCCCCUACGCAGUUUUGCAGACACUACCCCCAUUGGAAAUCUCCAUUGGCUGGCUCAACUUUAGGACAAAAGGGUCAUAUCCAGCGUGAGCGAAUUUGACAUCCCCUCAAAGAGCAACAUCGUCAGUGGCGUUUGGUCGUUUUGCCAGAGGGAGGCAUCAUAACUUUUAAUUAUACGGGAAAAAGAAAAGCUUUUUCCCUUGUUCUUGAAAAGUACACCUGGAAUCUUUCUUCACUGAAACCCAAGGCCGCUCCUGAGGAUGCUUACUCAAGCAUGACCUCUCCCUGAAAUCAAUUUUCAUUUAUCUUUUUC